CCUACGGGAGGCAGCAGUGAGGAAUAUUGGUCAAUGGACGAGAGUCUGAACCAGCCAAGUAGCGUGAAGGAUGACUGCCCUAUGGGUUGUAAACUUCUUUUAUAUGGGAAUAACAUGUUCCACGUGUGGGAUUCUGUAUGUACCAUAUGAAUAAGGAUCGGCUAACUCCGUGCCAGCAGCCGCGGUAAUACGGAGGAUCUGAGCGUUAUCCGGAUUUAUUGGGUUUAAAGGGAGCGUAGGUGGAUUGUUAAGUCAGUUGUGAAAGUUUGAGGCUCAACCGUAAAAUUGCAGUUGAAACUGGCAGUCUUGAGUACAGUAGAGGUGGGCGGAAUUCGUGGUGUAGCGGUGAAAUGCUUAGAUAUCACGAAGAACUCCGAUUGCGAAGGCAGCUCACUGGACUGCAACUGACACUGAGGCUCGAAAGUGUGGGUAUCAAACAGGAUUAGAUACCCGGGUAGUC
RNAcentral lists this ribosomal RNA (460 nucleotides) under uncultured bacterium. Its description in RNAcentral is "partial 16S ribosomal RNA". It matches the Rfam family "Bacterial small subunit ribosomal RNA", at positions 338 to 795 of the family's 1533-position model. The record is from RNAcentral.